RNAcentral lists this transfer RNA (75 nucleotides) under Klebsiella quasipneumoniae. RNAcentral describes it as "tRNA-Gly". It matches the Rfam family "tRNA". From Rfam's summary of the family: Transfer RNA (tRNA) molecules are approximately 80 nucleotides in length. Their secondary structure includes four short double-helical elements and three loops (D, anti-codon, and T loops). The record is from RNAcentral. Lineage: Bacteria; Pseudomonadati; Pseudomonadota; Gammaproteobacteria; Enterobacterales; Enterobacteriaceae.
GCAUCUGUCGUAGUUUGGUAAUUACAUUUGGCUUCCACCCAGAAGAUACGGGUUCGAUCCCCGUCAGAUGCUCCA